UUGUGUGUGGGGUUAGGGUUAGUGUUUAAUAUUAGUUCAUAUUGAGUUAUUCAGCGCGCGUUAAAAACUGUGAAUAUUCAAAGUGUUGUUUUAAUACCCUAUAUUCGGAAAUCUACUUCUUUGAAUUAUUUUGACUUUCUUUUUUUAUUCUAAUUAAAUACUUUGGUUUUUUUUUUGUUACUUAUCUAAGAGUUUAUUUUUUUGUAAUUUUUAAAUAUAUUUGAGUAUACUUUCUAAAGAAAAUAAUUCAUUUAGUGACGUCAGAGGGGCCUAUCUUCAACAUUUCUGUAGGCAUUUAGUUAUUGAACCUGGUGCGCUAUCCUAAAAUUCUAAUCACACGUAGGGGCGCUACAUGGAUUAAAAAAACUUACUGUUAUUUAACAAUAAAAGGCUUGUAAUAUUUGAUAGUGAAUUAUUCUGUCAGGAAACAUUUACUUAACAUUAAUGGAACGAGACUCCAGUGUCAGUACUUUACAACAAUCAGAGCCAAAGCUGUAACUUUACGUUUUCCACCAUGGGAAAGUGUAAGGACAGAGGAUGUUAUGCACUGUGAGUUCUCAAUAACAAGCUUUGUGAUUUCUCUGUAGCAAGCUAUAAACUGAUUUUUUUUUUUUUUUUUUUUUUUUUUUUUUUAAAUCGCUUGUAGAGUCAUGUUUCUGAACGGUACAGAUGCACACUAUAGACCAGAUUAUAAUCAAAUGGUGUAAGGAGACAGCUGGCUCGGCCUUGUGCCAACACUAGAGGGAGGAAGAGUGCCACCAGAAACAUUGCUAGACCGACUUCUACCACCAGAGGAAGGCAGAGAACACCUUCUUACUUAUCACUGGAAAUCAGCUCCACCUGUGCCUAGGUCUAUUUAAGGAGAGUUCUCCAAUCAUCCAGUGUUCAGUCUUUGGUCAGUCAUGCUAUGUGCUGGUGGCCCAAUUCUCAGCUGGUAACUCUGGUAAGAAUCUCAUGGGCACAUCUUGGUAAUUUCUCUGGCUUCUCUAGCCAACUCUUGAGCUCCCUCAAGCUCUCAGUGUAAGUAUAUACAUAAAGAAACAUAUUAGUUUCAGUCUGGGCUUUUAGUGGGCCUGAACUUUCAGUUAAUUCUUGGGCAUUUUAGCUUGCUCUGCAAUUGGGUCUAUCCCUGUCUCUGUGGGUGGCUUACUGGGUUGAGUUCUCACUUCUGAUUACUGGAGACCUGGGUUCACACUCUGCAUGAAAUAACCUCACCAUUACAAAGGAGUUGACCUAAAAGUACCGUGGCCCUGAUUAUUGAUCUUGGGUAUGUUUCAUGGACAAGGAUCUCAGUAAAGAGGAACAAAACCAGUGGUUAUUUUAAUUUGUUCCCCAUCUGUAUAUACACACAUUUUGUAUUUUGAGAACAGCUCCAUUUUUUUGUCCACUGUAUGAUGACUGAAUUAGCAGCAGAAGAAGGGAGGAUAGCCUCCCUGCAGUGUAGCCUGGCACUCUGACCUACAUGUGUGUUUACCAGCUCAGAUUCUGAUCGGUCAAUACUGAACCUAAGAUAAAUCAGAACGGAGCAAGUGCACAAUAAGUGAGUGUUUUGGUGUAUACAGCUGUUGGUGUGUGUGGUGUUUGGUUAUUUUUAUUUUUUUUUUAUUUUUUUUUUACACCACACAGCACAAAACAAUGAAGUGGUACAGAAAGCUAUUUCUACACUUCUUGGUCAUUGCUGCCACCAGUGCCUUUAUUGUACACAAAGAGCUUUACGGCACCAUGAGCCAUAAGGAGUUUAUGGAAGAACUAAUUGCAGAGCUCUGUGGUGUGUCACAGAAAAUAACACCAAAGCGGACCAGUGUUGACCAUGUGCCAGUUCCAGGAGCUGAGCAGGCCUCAGAUGGCACUGCUGGUCGCCGGAUCUGUGUGCUUUGCAAAGCAAAGCAUGGUAAGAGGCAGGACACUCCUUGGAAAUGCCAGGCAUGUGAUGUUCACUUGUGUGUUCGGCUGAAAAGGAACUGUUUCCUAGAGUGGCACAAAGAUGUAUAGAUGUAUAGCUGUAUAGCUGUUCAAUUCUGUGGGCUUCAAAUAGUGGGCUUUUACUAUAUUCUAAAUAAACUACAAACAAAAAAUAUAUAAAUUUCUUUUGUUCUCACAUUCUUUUUCAUAGCACUUCCCUCUCAGCCACAUUCCUGACUCAACGGCUCAUUAUGCAGGUCAUUAUGUGGGUUUUUGUCUUCUUAGGUGUCAAUCACAUUAUUAUUCGUGAUCAUUCAUGCCCUCUUGCAUAUGCCCUUUCGAAACAAAGUGUCUUAGAAAAUUUAAAUAAGUAUAUUGUUUACUGUGAAUGAGUGAACAAGAUGAUUAUCACAUCAUUUUGAUGCAAAAAAUCUAGGCUACAAGAUCCAGUCCUCGAAAGUCUUGUGAACCAAUGUUCUGUAUAUGUUUUAUGGCCUUAUUUCAGUGACUUAAUUUUAGUUUUUCACUAACCACGCAUAAACGCUGUUUUCUCAAACACAAUCAUGUAUAAACAUGCUGCUCAUAUUAUUGUAGCCCAGUUUGUGCUGAUUACAGUCUUAUCAGACUUUAGCCAUUAAUAUAUUUAAAAGCAACUGAAAAAAGCACAAAUGUCAGGGCAUGUCAAAAUUUGUCCAGGGCCCCAAAACACCCUCAGACCCCAGAGGGUUAAACCCUAAACUUGUUUUGAUGUAAUGUUUUAUCAGUUGUGAUACAUGUGCAAAACAAGCUAGUACCUGUUCUUGUCACAAAUGACCUCUUUUAAGAAUGCAUCAUGGGUCCUAACAUGGUGCGCUCUGCUUACAUGUCAUUUUUUUCUCAUUUUUCCAUGUGCUUUUGUGUGCGAGCAGAGGCCAUCCACACUGGAUCCACGCCUUCUAAAAUAAUAUCAACAAAUCUUUGACUAAGACCUUCCUGACUCAUGGUUGGAGCCCUACUUCUGGUUGGAGUUCUCAUCGGUUGAGUUCACUCGCUGCUGCUGGGGAUGGCCCGAUAUGGACGGCCUGAAGAACCAUUUGGAUUGCUGGGAAUGGUGCCACCUGGGGGCUGUGGAGAUGGCUUGGCGAUCACAUAUGGCGAGCUGUACUAUAAUGGCUUGGGACUGCGAUUGCUGUAGUGGCUUUGGGGCUGCAGUUGCCACAAGCACCUUCAUACUCAGGACUCUAUCAUUGGACCAACCGGACUUCUUGCAAAAACUGUGAUGAAUUUACUGGUUGCACAAUUGCACUAUUUGUCCAUAUAGUGCACAAUAAUAGAAGAGAUUUAGUUAUAAUUGCACUAUCCAUUGCACCCAGAUGAGGAUGGGUUCCCUUUCGAGCCUGGUUCCUCUCAAGGUUUCUUCCUCAUAUUGUCUCAGGGAGUUUUUCCUUGCCACAUACAUUCACAUUUACAAUAUAUUUUUUGUGAAUCCAUGUAUUUCUGUAAAGCUGCUUUGUGACAAUGUCCAUUGUUAAAAGCGUUAUACAAAUAAAAUUGAAUUGAAGUAUGGA
Long non-coding RNA from Pangasianodon hypophthalmus (striped catfish), 3449 nucleotides. RefSeq lists it as uncharacterized. The transcript has 2 exons. The record is from RefSeq and is a predicted model, not a curated record. Lineage: Eukaryota; Metazoa; Chordata; Actinopteri; Siluriformes; Pangasiidae.